GUAUUUUGAAUUGUUUAUUCAUAAUAUUUUUCAGACAAAGAGUUAAAAGAUAAAGGUUGAUGUUUGGUCGAUCUCCAAGAAGAUCGACUGACAUUGCACACAAGGUGGAUAUGGAUUUUUAAAGAGUGCCAUAAAACACUCAUUGUGAAUGAUCCUUCCGCAGGUUCACCUACGGAAA
RNAcentral lists this unclassified non-coding RNA (178 nucleotides) under uncultured fungus. RNAcentral's name for it is "sequence contains ITS1". Lineage: Eukaryota; Fungi. The record is from RNAcentral.